This 497-nucleotide ribosomal RNA is filed under the name uncultured bacterium. Its description in RNAcentral is "partial 16S ribosomal RNA". It matches the Rfam family "Bacterial small subunit ribosomal RNA", at positions 28 to 507 of the family's 1533-position model. The record is from RNAcentral.
GAUGAACGCUGGCGGCGUGCCUAAUACAUGCAAGUCGAGCGAACAGAUAAGGAGCUUGCUCCUUUGACGUUAGCGGCGGACGGGUGAGUAACACGUGGGUAACCUACCUAUAAGACUGGAAUAACUCCGGGAAACCGGGGCUAAUGCCGGAUAACAUUUAGAACCGCAUGGUUCUAAAGUGAAAGAUGGUUUUACUAUCACUUAUAGAUGGACCCGCGCCGUAUUAGCUAGUUGGUAAGGUAACGGCUUACCAAGGCAACGAUACGUAGCCGACCUGUGAGGGUGAUCGGCCACACUGGAACUGAGACACGGUCCAGACUCCUACGGGAGGCAGCAGUAGGGAAUCUUCCGCAAAGGGCGAAAGCCUGACGGAGCAACGCCGCGUGAGUGAUGAAGGUCUUCGGAUCGUAAAACUCUGUUAUUAGGGAAGAACAAAUGUGUAAGUAACUGUGCACGUCUUGACGGUACCUAAUCAGAAAGCCACGGCUAACUACGUG